RNAcentral lists this ribosomal RNA (523 nucleotides) under uncultured bacterium. RNAcentral describes it as "bacterial SSU rRNA". It matches the Rfam family "Bacterial small subunit ribosomal RNA", at positions 15 to 518 of the family's 1533-position model. The record is from RNAcentral.
GAUCUGGCUCAGAACGAACGCUGCGGCGCGUCUUAAGCAUGCAAGUCGGACGGCAAGGGUUGUGCUUGCACAACUCCUAGAGUGGCGGACUGGUGAGUAACGCGUGGGUGACCUGCCCUCGAGAUGGGGGAUAGCCAUUAGAAACUAGUGGAUAAUACCGAAUACCGCUCAAUGACCCUGUAGGGGAUAUGAGGAAAACAGGCUACGGCCUGGCUCGAGGAUGGGCCCGCGUCCCAUUAGCUAGUUGGUGAGGUAACGGCCCACCAAGGCGACGAUGGGUAUCCGGCCUGAGAGGGUGUACGGACACAUUGGGACUGAGAUACGGCCCAAACUCCGUACGGGAGGCAGCAGCUAAGAAUAUUCCGCAAUGGACGAAAGUCUGACGGAGCGACGCCGCGUGGAUGAAAGAAGGCCGGAAGGUUGUAAAUCCUUUUGCUGAUGAAGAAUAAGUGUGGUAGGGAAUGACCGCAUGAUGACAUUAGUCGGUGAACUAAGCCCCGGCUAACUACGUGCCAGCCGCCGC